This 450-nucleotide ribosomal RNA is filed under the name uncultured bacterium. RNAcentral describes it as "partial 16S ribosomal RNA". It matches the Rfam family "Bacterial small subunit ribosomal RNA", at positions 354 to 796 of the family's 1533-position model. The record is from RNAcentral.
GUCGAGAAUAAUUCACAAUGGGGGAAACCCUGAUGGUGCAACGCCGCGUGGAGGAUGAAGGUCUUCGGAUUGUAAACUCCUGUCAUCCGAGAGUAAGACCUGGCGGUGAAUAGCCGACAGGGUUGAUAGUAUCGGAAGAGGAAGGGACGGCUAACUUCGUGCCAGCAGCCGCGGUAAUACGAAGGUCCCUAGCGUUGUUCGGAAUCACUGGGCGUCAAGGGAGCGUAGGCGGCAUGGUAAGUCAGGUGUGAAAUCCCGGGGCUCAACCCCGGAACUGCACCCGAUACUGCCAUGCUAGAGGGUUGGAGAGGUGACUGGAAUUCUCGGUGUAGCAGUGAAAUGCGGGGAUAUCGAGAGGAACACUCGUGGCGAAGGCGAGUCACUGGACAACAUCUGACGCUGAGGCUCGAAGGCUAGGGGAGCAAAAGGGAUUAGAAACCCCUGUAGUCC